This 85-nucleotide transfer RNA is filed under the name Actinomyces sp. RNAcentral describes it as "tRNA-Leu(tag)". It matches the Rfam family "tRNA". Rfam says of the family: Transfer RNA (tRNA) molecules are approximately 80 nucleotides in length. The record is from RNAcentral. RNAcentral also lists the same sequence under 11 other names. Lineage: Bacteria; Bacillati; Actinomycetota; Actinomycetes; Actinomycetales; Actinomycetaceae.
GCGCGAGUGGCGGAACUGGUAGACGCCCCAGAUUUAGGUUCUGGUGCCUUCGGGCGUGAGGGUUCGAGUCCCUUCUCGCGCACCA